CCUUAAUAACCUUGCUUUUAAUUAUCACAAACUUUAAAAAUUUCCAAACCACCAACAAAUGAACUGUGCUUGUGAUGUAAUGAACAACAUAGCACGAUUAUACCUUGUAAAUUAGUAAUUGUACUGAAAAUUAAACUUAUAUCUAACCAAAGAUGAGAACAUAGAAAAGUCAAUGCAGAUGAUGAAUGCAAGAGAGUUAUGUUCAAUGGUACUUCAGGAAAUAUUGGGAAAAUUGCAUAAGGCAAGCAGCAUACUUGAGUGCGCCAGAUAUGCUUGUCCAUUUCAAUUUAUAAUAAAUCAUUUGCCAGGAAAUUCUCACAAAUCCAUUUAAAGUUUUGAAAUAUACCAAUAAUGAGGAUGUCAACAAUAAGUCCAAAAGAUGGAAGUUCAAAACUUAGUAACCAGAAAACCAUCACUACCUUGUUCGAAACCAUUAACAUUGGGAUUGAUGUAACGUUAAGUUCUUAAAGAACUUUGUCCACACCCUCAAUCUGUUGUUCUGCCAGCAAAUGGCAGAAUGACAUAGAAAUAUACUAUAAUAAGUUGAAACGGGAUUGUUAUUCCAUACAUCCAUUGCAAAUGACAUAUCAAUUUGCCCAGCAAAUCAAACCACCAGACAACAAGACACAACUCAAAUAGAACAUAUCCAUAAGUUUUGAAUUGUUUCAGUCAACUCCACAGCCUCCCUUCUACUUCAUUAUCAAGCAAAUAGCAUGGAGACCCCAUACACUUGUAAUGUCACUUGGAAGCAGUAGCAACCAGGCAAAUGGCAAUGUCCCCAAAAUUGUAACCCAAGACCUCAGCGUUAUGAGAUAGUUAAGUAGAAUCCUGGUACCAAUUAUCCCUAAUUUUAGAUUAUAGCUGAUUAGCUGGUGACUAUCAUGAGCACUAGAAUGAUAUGGACUCCAAGGCAUAUCCUUCUAUAGGAAAUUUACAUUACAUAUUUCUUUCUUAUUUGAAGGAGUUCCAACAAAAAAUUUCUAUACGGAUUCGAUAUGUACUAUAAUACACCUAGAUCAGGUCACGUUCUGUCUUUUAAAUCAUAAUAGAAAGACAAUUAAAAAAAUUUCCAUAAAAGCAAAUAUAUCAUUUUUCUACAAUCUUCAGUUUCCUUUCUUCAAUUUUUAGUUUAUUGCAAGAAGUAAUCUCAUUAAAUAUAUAACUUUACAAGGCUCUUAGAGCAUAUACAAGAGACUAUUUAUAAAGAGC
Molecule: long non-coding RNA, 1209 nt
Filed under: Olea europaea subsp. europaea
Lineage: Eukaryota; Viridiplantae; Streptophyta; Magnoliopsida; Lamiales; Oleaceae
Source: RNAcentral